Orbicella faveolata is the source of this 406-nucleotide long non-coding RNA. NCBI's taxonomy places the organism in Eukaryota, Metazoa, Cnidaria, Anthozoa, Scleractinia, Merulinidae. The record is from RefSeq and is a predicted model, not a curated record.
CAGUUCUCGACCUUUUUCGUGUCCAACAGGAAUUGGAAGGUCUGAUUUGAAGAACAAAGGACAAUUUUGAAGCUCUUUAGUCCAUCAAUUCCCCUUAAAAGAGCCAUGAUCACAGAUAUUCAACUAGCAGCCUUUGCAAACAUUCUGGGAGUGUCGCUGUUCCUUCUUGUUGUUCUGUAUCACUUUGUAGCAGUCAAUAAUCCUAAGAGGAAAGAAGAGUAAUUUGAUUCAAUGUUAACAUGUACAGAAAUUUUAGCAUUCAAUGGUCUUUAUUGCCUCAGGACAAGAAGAAACCAAGUGUUUAGAUAAAAAGUCAAGACUCAUAUUGUACAUGUGUCAUUAUUAUUAGAAACGUUUCUUCACUGUAAUGUUGCUUUUAAGACAAUAAAAGUAUUUUGUAAUCCAG